Molecule: non-coding RNA, 117 nt
Organism: Pongo abelii (Sumatran orangutan)
Lineage: Eukaryota; Metazoa; Chordata; Mammalia; Primates; Hominidae
Source: Rfam
GCCGGGCGCGGUGGCGCACGCCUGUAAUCCCACCACUUUGGGAGGCCGAGGGGGGCGGAUCACCUGAGGUCAGGAGUUCGAGACCCGCCUGACCAACAUGGAGAAACCCCGUCUCUA